CUGCACGAUCCCGAACGGCGCGAGCCGGCCGCGUUUCGCGGGGUCGGGGUCCCACAACCUGCCGUGCAGGUACGUCGGUUCCAGCCCGUCCGUGCUGG
This 98-nucleotide transfer RNA is filed under the name Streptomyces sp. Go-475. Its description in RNAcentral is "tRNA-Ala". Lineage: Bacteria; Bacillati; Actinomycetota; Actinomycetes; Kitasatosporales; Streptomycetaceae. The record is from RNAcentral.